UAAGACGUAGGGAGCGAGCGUUGUCCGGAUUCAUUGGGCGUAAAGAGCGCGCAGGCGGUUUGGUAAGUCGGAUGUGAAAACCCGGGGCUCAACCCCGGGCGUGCAUCUCGAUACUGCCCGACUAGAGGUAGGUCGGGGAGAUCGGAAUUCCUGGUGUAGCGGUGAAAUGCGCAGAUAUCAGGAGGAACACCGGUGGC
This 197-nucleotide ribosomal RNA is filed under the name uncultured bacterium. RNAcentral's name for it is "partial 16S ribosomal RNA". It matches the Rfam family "Bacterial small subunit ribosomal RNA", at positions 521 to 716 of the family's 1533-position model. The record is from RNAcentral.